AUUUAAAGGUAAAGCAUUAUUCCUUAUUUGUCAUUUCCCCCUUUUUUUUUUAAAAGGGGCUUGUUUGAUUUAUAAAUUAGGCUUGAUUGUAUUUAUUUUCUUCAAUGUUGUUGUAAAAUUCUCUUUAAUAAUUAUGCCAGCUAUCACUAUAAUGUUAUAAUAUCAUCUAAAGGAAUAGAUGUGCUAGAUAUUUAUAUGUUAUCCAGCUAGUCAAAUACAUCUUAAAUUGUGAAAUAAAGUCAUUUUAUGCAUCGCUUAAUAGAAAUUCAGAGAGCCUACCAUGACUAAUACUCAGCAUAGGCUGUUUCUAAUCCCUACCUGAGAUAUCAGUGUUGGCAUUAUGACUUUCACAUGGAUAGUGAUCUAUUAAGCCUAUUCUCUGUUUAUUUCAGCUUCCUGUUUCUAAUGUUCGUAGCAUGCCACAAACUUUUUAACCCUAGGUGAACAAGAGGGGGAGAUUUUAGUUCAUUGUAAGCAUCAGAUGAAUAAUGCCAGAAUUUUAUAUAGAUGGAGUUUUUCUUGUUUCUCAAAAUGGGUGCAUUGCUGGAGAGGUAUUGAAUGCCCAGUACGGAAGUGUGAUAAGUUGAUGGUGGAGAGAGCAAGAAGGAAAAGAGGGAGACCUAAAAUGAUAUGAAGGGAAGUAGUAUCAAGAUAUUUUUUUUUUUUUUUGGACAUUUGAUGUGCACUUGGUUUCCAACGGAGCUGAAUGGUGAGAAAGGAUCCAUAUAGUUGAUCUCAACUAGUUUGAGACUAAGGCUUAGUUGUUAUUAUUGUAUAUGGUAACAGUUUUAGCACUUAUUUCCGAUAAUUGAUUGGCAGGUGCUCCCUCAUAUUUGGAGCAUCUAUUAUGCAGG
RNAcentral lists this long non-coding RNA (854 nucleotides) under Manihot esculenta (cassava). RNAcentral's name for it is "long non-coding RNA (MESC_LNC007546)". The record is from RNAcentral. Lineage: Eukaryota; Viridiplantae; Streptophyta; Magnoliopsida; Malpighiales; Euphorbiaceae.